Molecule: unclassified non-coding RNA, 329 nt
Filed under: soil metagenome
Description: partial contains 5.8S ribosomal RNA, internal transcribed spacer 2, and large subunit ribosomal RNA
Rfam family: 5.8S ribosomal RNA (bases 2-120)
Source: RNAcentral
AAUGAAGAACGUAGCGAAAUGCGAUAAGUAAUGUGAAUUGCAGAAUUCAGUGAAUCAUCGAAUCUUUGAACGCACAUUGCGCCCCUUGGUAUUCCGAGGGGCAUGCCUGUUCGAGCGUCAUUAUAACCCCUCAAGCUCAGCUUGGUGUUGGGGCCUGCUGCACUGGCAGCCCUUAAAAUCAGUGGCGGCGCCAUCUGGCUCUAAGCGUAGUAAUUCUUCUCGCUAUGGAGUCCUGGUGGAUGCUUGCCAUCAACCCCCAAUUUUUCUAUGGUUGACCUCGGAUCAGGUAGGGAUACCCGCUGAACUUAAGCAUAUCAAUAAGCGGAGGA